Molecule: transfer RNA, 74 nt
Filed under: Rhododendron molle
Lineage: Eukaryota; Viridiplantae; Streptophyta; Magnoliopsida; Ericales; Ericaceae
Description: tRNA-Val
Rfam family: tRNA
About the family: Transfer RNA (tRNA) molecules are approximately 80 nucleotides in length.
Source: RNAcentral
GGUGUCGUGGUGUAGUUGGUUAUCACGUCAGUCUAACACACCGAAGAUCUGCGGUUCAAACCCGGGCGACGCCA